This is a long non-coding RNA of Orussus abietinus, 3607 nucleotides long. RefSeq lists it as uncharacterized. The record is from RefSeq and is a predicted model, not a curated record. The transcript is spliced from 5 exons. NCBI's taxonomy places the organism in Eukaryota, Metazoa, Arthropoda, Insecta, Hymenoptera, Orussidae.
AUGGAUGCUGGACCCGAGAGGUCCCCUUCCGAGCGGUCUUAUCAAUCAGUUGAUACGGAGCAGUUUUAUAGUGACGAAGGCUCAGGAACGGAUUUGCAAGCUGUCUUGUUUGGAUCCAGAAAAUAGCGGAAGGAAAUCAGGAUGGAAUAGAGAUAUGUCGUUAUCGGCGAAGGACGAUUCGGAGGCUUUCGAGUCACUGGACCAGAGGGCAACGCGGGGUUGCAGGAUGAUAUAACGCGACCCUGGUUCUUUGCGCCAAGUGGAGCGUAUCGUGGGGAAUACGCGCGUCAUGAAAAGACGAUGAAAACCGUCUUAAAGCUUUCGUUUGAUCCGACGCCCUGGCGAUUCUAAGACGAAAAACUGACCGAAGAGAACCCUGCAUCGGGUGAGGACUGGCCCGAAAAUUGAUUUUGGCACAAGAAACUGCAGGAGUGGAGCGGGGGUUCGAUGGAAAUGAAUUCGCAGUAAUCGCUGCAUGUCUAACUUAAUUGCACUCCUCCCCGGCCGGAACGACUUCCUCCUGUCUCCGAGGUAAAUAAAAGCAAAGGGGGCACUUUAGAUGCCGCUUAAAAUUGCACGCCUAGUGUGCAAGUUAAAUGCAGACCUGCUCGAGGCUUCAGUCAAUGGCCACUUACAAUUAGCAACUUAACGACACGUCACGCGAGGGACAGGGUGGGUCAACGUGAUGGUAGGGUCUUCUCCACCGCCUUCCAGCCUCUCGUGUAAACAACAUUUAAUCACGCGAACGUGCCCCGUGUCCGUCAACGAUGUCCAGUCUCUCUCGUCGAUUUACUCGCACGAUCUUUGGAAGAUCUAUACACGUCAGCGGAAGAUCAGCCCGAGUUCUCGGCAAAAUUUCGUCUCCCGUGAUUCCGCCAAUUACACUUUCCACCGGCAAGUUUCAAUGAAGUCAACGAAAUGACAAAAGAUGGGGCACUGCGAAUAAAGGACCCCGACACUGCAUCGUGUCGUUUAAUCGUGGACAAGAAGAGGAAGUCGAUUUAUCAAUCCCACGGGAAUGCGGGAAAAUCGAGCUAACCAAUUUUAGCGCCUUUUGCCAAGAACUCGAAGUUACGUUUUCGAAAGUGUCCCCCUGAUUAGAUCAGGACUUUCGCUCUCCGUUCAGCGGGCAUUUCUUGCCAGCACGAGUCGUACUCAUUUCGAGUCGAAUUUCGCCGAAAGCUCGAUUUGCGCUACCGAAUUGGCGAGUGCGCCCUCGCAGUUCUCGAUUCUCGAGAAUUUCGCCUAUCUACCUCCCGCAAAGUCAUCGCAACUUCUCGCAGGGAUAUAUUUCUAUAUAUAUAUCUUUUAACGAGAUCGUCAACAAUUAACAUCCUCCGGCAGCCUGGCCGGGUUCUCAGAAACCCCGGAGCCGGAUUUCGUGGGUCGAGCAUUAAUUUCCUGAAAAUUUUCAAUCGAAUUUCCAACUUCUCGGACCUCGGGGUUUCUGAAAACGCGACUGAUUCGUGCCACGAAAAUAAUGCUCGCAACAAAGACAGAAUAUAGGCGCGAAGCGUUUUUCGAUCCAUGGUUCCGUGUUCUCUAGACGACCCGGCUGCCGCGAAACUCGUCGGGAAAUUCGCGAAAAUCCGCAAUUUGACGCAAUUUUAUUCUCUGGAAUUUCCCGAGAGGGCAUAACGAUUCCUCGAGGCAUUCGGAUUUUUGGAAGGCCGAGGAAAAGUUGGACAAGUUUCGCCGAAUCGCGGAUUUCUGCGGUCCCCUGCAGGUUUCGCGUUGUUUUAACGCGCGAAGCUUCUGCCGGAAGUUGAAGCCGGUGUCGCCCCGUUAGUAGCUUCCGGUUUGCGGACGGGAACUUCCGGAAAGCCCGGGAUCGCUCCUACAGGAUAGCGUUUCCCACCGUUUCCACAUUGUUUUCUGCCCUUUUGUUGCCCUUUUCGGUUACUCUUGGCGGCCGGACUUUGCCGGAAGUUGGCGCCGUUCACAAUGCGGUCGAAAAUGGCCAUUAAAGUCUUUCGAAUUCGCAUGUAGGUUUUUAAAGAUAAAAUAAAAUAUUAACACUGACGGUCUCAAAUUUCGUUGAUGGACAUUUACAUACCGCCGGCGUCUCUUACAUGGUAAGACAUGUCCAGGCAGAAGGGAAAAGUGUUUAGUGACCAUUUUUGAACUCGAUACGACUUUGAAAGUCUUUGCAAUGGCCAAUCUCGUGCUCACCGUUGUUCCGAACUUUUUCACGCGCUCUCAGUCGGUUAUCUUGCGAAAGUAAACCUAACGUAAGUUCGAUUCGUUGUACGAUAUAUGUUCGUGGUGACGACGGAAGGGAUAUAUUUUUUUCUCUCCUCUCUGCGGGAUUAAAGGAAUGGUUCUGUACAAAUUCAAGACUUAUACGAGAGGACAACGCGAGGCUUAACUGAUUUAAAACUACUUACAUAGUUCUACGUAAUAAUCAUGUCGGCUCUCUACCGCGAAUCUCGUCACCGGUUCUUCUUUCUUGAUAAAAAAGUCGGAAAAAGUCGAAAGUAACACUUCCUGACUAGGAAUAACCCUUACGCUCUAACGCCUUAAGAUCUACCCCGUCGCGGAAAAUUAACUACACCUACGUCUUAAAUUAAUCAAUUAAAAUAUAAUUAAGUUCUCACGGUUAUUCGCCACUCUACCGUUAGCCAACAAUGAUUACAAAUCUUUCUUUUAUAACGCCCGCUACCCGGGAUCUGUAUAUUCGAGGCUUUUAAGUAUGUCACUUAAGAUUCGGUUUUUAUACCUACGACUUGGAAAUAUUAUAAACAAUAGAUCCCUGUAUGAGAGAGGAGAGAAAGAAAGUGAGAGAGAGAGAGAAAGAUCGAAUGAUCGUGGCGAUGGGCGAUCGGAAAGAAAUUAAUUGUACUGUCAAUAAGGGAACUGUCAAGUACUUUACAAACGAUGAGCAUAUAUCGACUGAUUUCCCACUAAGUUAGUCUGAGUUAAUCAUAAAUGAAGUCUUAUGCCUAGAGAUCGGAUGUAGCAUCCGAAAGAAUUUCCUCGGCACUUGCAGCACAGGUCCUCGAAAGAAAUAUUUCUUUCGCGAACGAAUACUUUUUGUAAUCCUUCGUCGAAGGCUGUUCAUACUUUUUCCCUCCCAUUUUUCUUUAGAUUCCGCCAGUAAGGAAGUUUUGCAAGGGGCUGAGGACUCGUUUAUCAGCAGUUGGGAAACUUGUUAAAAAUUUCUCUUUUCAAUAAAAGUCACUCUUUCGUGCUAAUAAAUUCUAAGGAGUAAUCAUCCCGUCGAUAAACGGAACGAUUACUUUCGCAGAAUUGCCCGACUGCAGGGGAUCUGGAAUAAAAAGAGACCCGAUUGAUAUUCACCGGCUACUUUUCAAUUCUAUCGCGGCAAUUUCCGGAAUUCGAGAGGAGAGAGGCGACCGGUGCCGCAGAGGCGGAGGAAGGCUCUCGGAAAGUGAAAAUCCGAUCUCCAAUUAUGUCGAAAGUGAAUCGCCAGGUCAGAGUUUCGGUUUUUUCGACCGAUUUUAAGGACUGUGGGGGUCUCGAGGACCCGCCGAGGAACGAUAAAACGCAAUCUGACGAGAUCGCCGUCGUCGCGUGCGAACGAUACCUUCGGAAUCGCCCGUCCCUAUGUACAAGAAAAAUAUAUGUAUAUUUAUGUUAUAAUGCA